Molecule: ribosomal RNA, 290 nt
Filed under: uncultured bacterium
Lineage: Bacteria
Description: partial 16S ribosomal RNA
Rfam family: Bacterial small subunit ribosomal RNA
Source: RNAcentral
GGAUUAGAUACCCUGGUAGUCCACGCCGUAAACGAUGAGAACUAGACGUUGGGUAUUUAUACUUGGUGUCGCAGCUAACGCAUUAAGUUCUCCGCCUGGGGAGUACGGCCGCAAGGUUGAAACUCAAAGUAAUUGACGGGGGCCCGCGCAAGCGGUGGAGCAUGUGGUUUAAUUCGAUGCAACGCGAAGAACCUUACCUACACUUGACAUCAUCAGAACUUGUUAGAGAUAACUCGGUGCCUUCGGGAACGGAGAUACAGGUACUGCAUGGCUGUCGUCAGCUCGUGCCG